CGUCGUACACCCGAGCCUCGCCGUACACCCGA
Molecule: non-coding RNA, 32 nt
Filed under: Vibrio phage 1.139.A._10N.261.48.C6
Lineage: Duplodnaviria; Heunggongvirae; Uroviricota; Caudoviricetes; Zobellviridae
Source: RNAcentral